AGACAGAGCAAGAGGUAGACGCAGUGAACUGAAACAUCUUAGUAGCUGCAGGAAGAGAAAGAAACAUCGAUUCCCUGAGUAGCGGCGAGCGAAAAGGGAAGAGCCCAAACUAAUAAGCUUGCUUGUUGGGGUUGUAGGACUGAACAUUAGAGUUACCAAAGUGCGACGUAGUCGCAACAGUUGGGAAGCUGUGCCAUAGAGGGUGAGAGCCCCGUAGACGAAACGUCA
This 228-nucleotide ribosomal RNA is filed under the name Limosilactobacillus reuteri. RNAcentral's name for it is "partial 23S ribosomal RNA". It matches the Rfam family "Bacterial large subunit ribosomal RNA", at positions 164 to 389 of the family's 2925-position model. The record is from RNAcentral. Lineage: Bacteria; Bacillati; Bacillota; Bacilli; Lactobacillales; Lactobacillaceae.